RNAcentral lists this ribosomal RNA (440 nucleotides) under uncultured archaeon. Its description in RNAcentral is "bacterial SSU rRNA". It matches the Rfam family "Archaeal small subunit ribosomal RNA", at positions 19 to 463 of the family's 1478-position model. The record is from RNAcentral.
GGACCUGACUGCUAUCGGAUUGAUACUAAGCCAUGUGAGUCUUUGUAGCAAUACAAGGCAUACGGCUCAGUAACACGUAGUCAAUCUAACCUAUGGACGGGGAUAACCUCGGGAAACUGAGAAUAAUACCCGAUAGAUCAUUAUGCCUGGAAUGGUUUAUGGUUCAAAUGAUUCGUUCGCCGUAGGAUGGGACUGCGACCUAUCAGUUUGUUGGUGAGGUAAUGGCCCACCAAGACUAUUACAGGUACGGGCUCUGAGAGGAGAAGCCCGGAGAUGGGUACUGAGACACGGACCCAGGCCCUAUGGGGCGCAGCAGGCGAGAAAACUUUGCAAUGUGCGAAAGCACGACAAGGUUAAUCCGAGUGGUUCCUGCUAAAGGAACCUUUUGUUAGUCGUAAAACCACUGAUGAAUAAGGGGUGGGCAAGUUCUGGUGUCAGCG